GUAGGGAAUAUUGGGCAAUGGAUGAAAGUCUGACCCAGCCAUGCCGCGUGCCGGAUGAAGGCGCUCAGCGUUGUAAACGGCUUUUAUUCGGGAAGAAGAGCAGGGAUGCGUCCCUGUGUGACGGUACCGAAUGAAUAAGCACCGGCUAACUCCGUGCCAGCAGCCGCGGUAAUACGGAGGGUGCGAGCGUUGUCCGGAUUUAGUGGGUUUAAAGGGUGCGUAGGUGGCCAAAUAAGUCAGUGGUGAAAUACGGUUGCUCAACAAUCGAGGUGCCAGUGAUACUGCUUGGCUUGAAAUAAUUGGAUGCUGCCGGAAUGGAUGGUGUAGCGGUGAAAUGCAUAGAUAUCAUCCAGAACACCGAUUGCGAAGGCAGGUGGCUACGAUUUAUUUGACACUGAGGCACGAAAGCAUGGGGAGCAAACAGGAUUAGAUACCCUGGUAGUCC
RNAcentral lists this ribosomal RNA (445 nucleotides) under uncultured bacterium. RNAcentral's name for it is "partial 16S ribosomal RNA". It matches the Rfam family "Bacterial small subunit ribosomal RNA", at positions 354 to 796 of the family's 1533-position model. The record is from RNAcentral.